Molecule: long non-coding RNA, 477 nt
Organism: Gasterosteus aculeatus aculeatus (three-spined stickleback)
Lineage: Eukaryota; Metazoa; Chordata; Actinopteri; Perciformes; Gasterosteidae
Source: Ensembl
AGUAAAGUGGACCAGAUUUCCUUUGAAUCUCAGUCAAAGAAAAAGAAACAUCAGUGACGCAGGUUGAGCACUUACACAAUGACAAAAUUAAUUUGUAACCUCCACUUAUUUAUCCAUUCCUCCAACCUUACAUUAUCUUACUGCUGGGUGCAGGAGACACAAGGUCAUUUACGUUUUAGAUGAUGAAGAACUGUGAGUCUGCAUGUCUCAGUGAGACACCUGGUGCUUGUAAGCAAUAUUUACUUAACAAUAUUAAGACUUAAAGAUAGAGGGAACUUAAAGCCGAUCGAUGCUACAGCAACUUUGAACAAAACUGAUGAUGACCAGAGGGAUUUUAACUAUUACUGCCAUCAUAUACAUCUGAUAGUUGUUACAUCUGAUGGUUGUUACAUCUGAUGGUUGUUACAUCUGAUGGAGGUUACAUCUGAUGGUUGUUACAUCUGAUGGUUGUUACAUCUGAUGGAGGUUACAUCUGAU